GACAGAGGGUGCAAACGUUGUUCGGAAUUACUGGGCAUAAAGCGCACGUAGGUGGUCCGCUAAGUCGCGUGUGAAAUCCCCCGGCUCAACCGGGGAAUUGCGCGCGAUACUGGCGGGCUAGAGAUCGGGAGGGGUGAGUGGAACUCCAGGUGGAGCGGUGAAAUGCGUAGAUAUCUGGAGGAACACCGGUGGCGAAGGCAGCUCGCUGGGACGUGACUGACGCUGAGACGCGAAAGCGUGGGGAGCAAACAGG
Molecule: ribosomal RNA, 253 nt
Filed under: uncultured bacterium
Lineage: Bacteria
Description: partial 16S ribosomal RNA
Rfam family: Bacterial small subunit ribosomal RNA
Source: RNAcentral